GACCUCAAAUCAGGUAGGAAUACCC
This 25-nucleotide ribosomal RNA is filed under the name Metarhizium sp. NHJ13933.05. Its description in RNAcentral is "Metacordyceps sp. NHJ13933.05 partial 28S ribosomal RNA". Lineage: Eukaryota; Fungi; Ascomycota; Sordariomycetes; Hypocreales; Clavicipitaceae. The record is from RNAcentral.